UUGUGUCCAACGAAGCUGGGAUUUGGGUGUAUGAUGGGUGUCUCAUUGGUGGCAAGCCCUGGAAGUGGUGGUUGUGGUGGUGUGGUGUGCAUGUAUUGCAACUCGUCCAGCUCUUCUUCCAAAUCUGCUAGCUGUCCUUUUGCUUUGUUUAACUUUGCCAACUUACUGGCUGCUAGUCUUUGCGCCUAUAGCUCUUGGGUGAAUUUUUCUUUUUCUUUUUUCAAUGUUUCAAGCUGUUUUAG
Molecule: long non-coding RNA, 242 nt
Filed under: Setaria italica (foxtail millet)
Lineage: Eukaryota; Viridiplantae; Streptophyta; Magnoliopsida; Poales; Poaceae
Description: long non-coding RNA (SITA_LNC003019)
Source: RNAcentral